RNAcentral lists this ribosomal RNA (484 nucleotides) under Enterococcus casseliflavus. RNAcentral's name for it is "bacterial SSU rRNA". It matches the Rfam family "Bacterial small subunit ribosomal RNA", at positions 28 to 485 of the family's 1533-position model. Lineage: Bacteria; Bacillati; Bacillota; Bacilli; Lactobacillales; Enterococcaceae. The record is from RNAcentral.
GACGAACGCUGGCGGCGUGCCUAAUACAUGCAAGUCGAACGCUUUUUCUUUCACCGGAGCUUGCUCCACCGAAAGAAAAAGAGUGGCGAACGGGUGAGUAACACGUGGGUAACCUGCCCAUCAGAAGGGGAUAACACUUGGAAACAGGUGCUAAUACCGUAUAACACUAUUUUCCGCAUGGAAGAAAGUUGAAAGGCGCUUUUGCGUCACUGAUGGAUGGACCCGCGGUGCAUUAGCUAGUUGGUGAGGUAACGGCUCACCAAGGCAACGAUGCAUAGCCGACCUGAGAGGGUGAUCGGCCACACUGGGACUGAGACACGGCCCAGACUCCUACGGGAGGCAGCAGUAGGGAAUCUUCGGCAAUGGACGAAAGUCUGACCGAGCAACGCCGCGUGAGUGAAGAAGGUUUUCGGAUCGUAAAACUCUGUUGUUAGAGAAGAACAAGGAUGAGAGUAAAACGUUCAUCCCUUGACGUAUCUAACCA